Long non-coding RNA from Pezoporus occidentalis (night parrot), 332 nucleotides. RefSeq lists it as uncharacterized. The record is from RefSeq and is a predicted model, not a curated record. The transcript has 3 exons. Lineage: Eukaryota; Metazoa; Chordata; Aves; Psittaciformes; Psittacidae.
UUUUGCUUCAUUUGUUCAGCAGGUAUAAAUCAGGGGCAUCAACAGGUCAGGGCUUAUAGAAGCUGCUGAUGUAAGCUCACAGUUGAGGUAACCAUGUCUAUAGGAAAAGGUCAGAGCUUCUGCUAGCAGAGAUUUAUGGCUAGAGGGAAACAGCUUGGGAUGGUUUUAAUAAGGCCUCAGAAGAUGCUGUUUAAAAAGUUAGUGCCUGGCAAAUUGCAAGGGUCCAACUUGGCAGAUAUUCUAGGCACGUGUUGAAAGAAGAAAAAGGAUUGUCAUGUUUCCUGGAGUUACAGAUGCCUGUGUAGCGCCAGUAACUAAUCCUUUGUAGCAGU